RNAcentral lists this ribosomal RNA (497 nucleotides) under uncultured bacterium. RNAcentral describes it as "partial 16S ribosomal RNA". It matches the Rfam family "Bacterial small subunit ribosomal RNA", at positions 28 to 507 of the family's 1533-position model. The record is from RNAcentral.
GAUGAACGCUGGCGGCGUGCCUAAUACAUGCAAGUCGAGCGAACAGACGAGGAGCUCGCUCCUCUGACGUUAGCGGCGAACGGGUGAGUAACACGUGGAUAACCUACCUAUAAGACUGGGAUAACUUCGGGAAACCGGAGCUAAUACCGGAUAAUAUAUUGAACCGCAUGGUUCAAUAGUGAAAGACGGUUUUGCUGUCACUUAUAGAUGGAUCCGCGCCGCAUUAGCUAGUUGGUAAGGUAACGGCUUACCAAGGCGACGAUGCGUAGCCGACCUGAGAGGGUGAUCGGCCACACUGGAACUGAGACACGGUCCAGACUCCUACGGGAGGCAGCAGUAGGGAAUCUUCCGCAAUGGGCGAAAGCCUGACGGAGCAACGCCGCGUGAGUGAUGAAGGUCUUCGGAUCGUAAAACUCUGUUAUUAGGGAAGAACAAAUGUGUAAGUAACUAUGCACGUCUUGACGGUACCUAAUCAGAAAGCCACGGCUAACUACGUG